Acanthopagrus latus (yellowfin seabream) is the source of this 4157-nucleotide long non-coding RNA. RefSeq lists it as uncharacterized. The record is from RefSeq and is a predicted model, not a curated record. Lineage: Eukaryota; Metazoa; Chordata; Actinopteri; Spariformes; Sparidae. The transcript is spliced from 3 exons.
UUGACUGGCUUUGGAAUACAAAUUAGUGUCAAAUGGACAGGAGGUCAAGGAGACACUGAAAAACUCUCAAAUGGGUUAUCUGUCACUUCCUGUAGAUCUUUAUAAUUAGUGUUUUUCAGUCACCUUUUCUCUUGAUGGAUCAAUUUAUUGAAUCAGCGUCAGAUCAAAUUUGUAAUGUCAGCUGCCAGUGCCAAAGUAACUCACAAAGGGGCCAAUGGGCAUAAAGGAGCUGUAGUCCCAGAUUCCACCACCCAUGUUCCAUGUGCACACAGCUUUUUUAUUAAUUAAUAUAAUACUGACAGAUGCAGUAAAUGAAUUAAAAGUAGUCUUUGACAUAGGGACUUUAUCUUUUAUCAAAUCUGCCAAAAAGCACAGCUAUUUGUCAUAUGAACUGUUAAAUGAUGUCACAUUGUGACUGUUGACAUCUGCUUCCCCGUUUAAAGAAACACUUGAUCAUUCAGAGCAUCAUAGGGGACAACAAUUUUCCAAGUAGCUAGUUACAUAGCUGCAUUUGUAAAAAAUAGCAACAAAAAGAUGGUAACAUGUACAGAAGAGAUUGAUACAAGUGUGCAGGUUGUUGUAGAGACAAACAACAUAUAAAUCUGCAUCCAUAUGUCUUUGAUUAAUGUGAAAAAAUAAGCUGACUCCUCCUGGCAACCACUGCUGCUUAGAUGAAUAUGACACUAGCUACUGAUUUGUUAGUGAAGAAGAAAAUAACCCCACCCCAACAAGCUUAUGUAAACAAAGGCAGAAUUAUUAAACUGAAACAAGCAGCAAUUGAGUCUCUGUUGCACCUUGGAUAGCUAGGAGUGCAAAACAUCCGGGGCUUUACCUCUGCAGAUAGAGUAUUUUUUUAAUGGGGGUCUCCCCUGGGAAAUUUUGAAAAUUGGACUGUUAAAGAUGCAAUUUCAGUUUAGUUUGAGAAGGACAGGAAGGCCAAUCGUUGGGAUCCACAUCGUCAUAUUUUAAUCACAAAUAAAGCAAAUUUUCUCUCACUAUAGGCCUACUGAGUAAUGUUUACAUCAAAGAUAUUAUAGCCUGUAAUAAGACAUGUGCUGUGUGCAUAGGCUAUUAGAGCAGAUAGAACAUUCCCUGUUAUAAUUUCUUCACUUCAUUGUCUGUCUGCAUUAGGCCUACAGGAGGCUUUGUACACCCAUGAACACAAUUCCAAUUUGAUUUACCACAGCAGACAAAAUUAGAAAUUAAAAUUAGAAUAAUUAAUACAUGGGCCUACCCGGUGUCAAGGUGAUCAUAUGAAGGUUGAAUUCAUGGCGGGACUGCUGAGUCUGGCUGCUUUUUUUCACAAACCUGAGCUGAUGGAAGUAUUAUAUCAGGGGUUGGCAGAGAUGAUGUCUCACUCUCCACAUCCAUAUAUCCAUAAUAAGUAACUACUAUAAAUGCUGCAAUGGUACUAAACAGUAGGCUAAUAGACGGGCUCUGGCAAUAUCAGUGAUGGAUAGAGGGGGAAAGAAGAACACAUAAUUAUUCUGACACUGGCAUAUGCCAUAAGGAAGGCCAGGUUAGCUUCUGCUCAAUUUGCGCUGGUGACAAUGUUGGAUUUGUGGCUGCUUGCCGCUGGAUAUGCAACCACAUGAAAACCUCUGGGGCUAUUUUCAUCAUGAGGAAAAUUAUACUUGAUUGAUUGAUUGAUUGAUUGAUUGAUUGAUUGAUUGAUUGAUUGAUUGAUUGAUUGAUUGAUUGAUUGAUUGAUUGAUUUUUAAAGGCACAGAUCUGAUAUCCGGGGCUAUUCCUAAAACAUCCAGGGCUAUAGCCUCGAAUCCCCAGGUUUAAUGACGUGGACACACCAAGAGUACACUGCUUCAGUCCAAGGGAAGAAGUCAGAUAGGAAGUCGAUAAAACAGGAUUGUCAGGUAGCGCUGAAAACACUACGGGUGGUACUUCAGCACCACAAGCCGAAUCCAAUCUAGUUUAAUUAUGAUGGAAAAAGAGCAGACAUCACUAUGUCCAAUAUCUCCAAAACUCAAAUCAUAACAAUCUAGAUAGAUAGAUAGCACUACAGGUAAGAGGGAAAAAAGGUCAUAUUAAUUGUGGGGUGCACUGUCCUUGAAGUUAUUGCAGGUUUCUUAGGUGCUUCAUUGCCAAAAUCGAUGUAAAGUAAUUGCUAAAGAUACUAACCUGAUCGUGGUUGUUAUUUACUAAAUAAUACGUUUUUAGGGGAUCUAAGAUUGCACAGGCCACUUAAAGGUAGUAAGUAUUUUCACUAUUAAUUGUAGUUUUUGCGCAAAUUAAUCAAAGUAAUUUGGCCUCAGAGUGGUUGCUCAGUCCCACUCAGCCCAGCUUUGUGAAGCACCUGCAGGCAUCUGAAUGAACAUCAGUGAAGAAAUGCCCAAAGGAAGUUGUUGUUGAAAGUCUUCCCUGUGGUGUUGGCAUCAAAGUAAGAGCUGAGUUGGAGGAACUCCUCCUCCAUCAGAUUCAUGCUGAAAUUGUGCAACACCUGCAGGGCAACAACAGCAAAUCGAAGUGGGUAUUGUAUGUGUGCACAUAUGUGUGUGCCCUUGCGUAUUAGGUGGGGGUUGAGGAGAUGUCAUCCACAACAGGCUGCUAAUUGUUUCGAUUAGCUGAGGGGCGCUGUCUUCAGUAAAUUGUACAGCAGGUAAAUGACAGGGACAAUAGAAUGUGAGUGUCAGCUGCUGUUCUCCUGAGCCGAAAUGUCAGUGUGGUCUCGUUUCAACCUUCAUCUUAAUUGAACAAUUAAAAUUACUGAUUGGCUGUCAAGUGAACAGGUGUGUGUGUGUGUGUGUGUGUGUGUGUGUGUGCGUGCGUGCGUGAUCUCCAGUACGCAUGGAUUUCCAGUCACUCUACAUCAUUCUCCUCAGAUAUCUUGGUAGCAGAGGCACAACUGAAGCUUGCAGGGUGGCGUGCUGCAGCUGACCUCACCUCCCUGAAGUCCUGCACGGAGGAAAUUCCUGCUCGUGUGAUCGGCGUCCAGGAGGAGAUACGAACCACACCAUAGGUCCUCAGCACGACCUCCACACAGUCUCUGUCCAGGACACCCUGGCUCAUCUGAACAGAACCAGAGCAUACAGGAUCCUGUCAGGCCACCGAGUACAAGAACCAAACAGAUGGACAUAAACAACAAGAAAGAAAACAACAGAUAGAGGAAAAAGCUAUUGCUGAUGUGUCCCACUGGCUGAGGAUGCUCCUAGGAACAUAUCCUCUGGAUCUACUUCCAGCAGUGCUGCAGUGCUCCAUGCAGGCUCCUCUCCAUGCUGCCCAGCAGACUGCUUGUCUGUGGCCUCCCUGCUGUGGCAGGAUAUGUGGGAGGCCGGAAUGUCACAUUGAUAUUCCACCUCGCUGUCUGUGAGAAAGCUACAGAGGUGGAAUGGAGGGAAAGAUUUGUUCCAUCACUGAUCUACCAGCAGAGAUGGUACCAGAGGCAAGACGACAUCUGUGCAUACUUGGCAGCAUCCUUUCACUCAUCAAAUAAAAGAGAAAUAUCCCACAAGGCAAAGUUACAGGAUCAAACUACUGUAAUGUGGUAGCAGGUAGUGUUAUAAGAAGACACUGAAUUUGUAUGUCGAAAAGUUGCAGUCAUCCUGUCUGUCCUACCAACUCUUUGAGUAAAAAACUUUACCUCACCAUGUCUUUCUUGUCUUCCACUACUACUACUAUGUCUGACAAAAAAAAAAGACUGAAAAAUGCAAAUGCGAGUCAAGACUCUACCAAAGCAAAAGGCAUAUUCAACAGAGUGAACAAGUGUUCUGAGGUCUUGAUGUGUCCAUAUUUCAAAUUGCUUUAGGAAAUCACAGGCAUACAGAAUGUGACAAAAGUUAUGACCGCAUUGUACAGCUUAACAUAAUUCAUGACUGAGCUUGAACCAUUUUCUUAUUCCUCAAGAGCAAUGAUAAUUAAAAUGUUCACCUCCCAACUCUGGGCAAUGAGAAUUUGUCACUGAGACUGUUUCAGGGGAAGGAGAUGGGUCGCUGUUGGUUGGCCCAUUUGGUUCUAUAUGUGGGGAAUCCUGCCCAGAGCACUGAAACACUUCAGAAACUCUCUGUACUGCAGUUUCUUCUGCUCAUCGACAGGCAUCUGACUCCACACACACUCAAACUGGGAAUAAAGAGGAAACACACACAUAAUAAUCAUCCACACGGGGGAUCUAAUACCCUGAUGAGAGUUUCACACAUGUAUGUAAA